UACGUACAAUGCAAGCGUUGUCCGGAAUUAUUGGGCGUAAAGAGCUCGUAAACGGUCUGUCGCGUCGGAUGUGAAAAUCCAAGGCUCAACCCUGGACCUGCAUUCGAUACGGGCAGACUGGAGGUAUGCAGGGGAGAACGGAAUUCCUGGUGUAGCGGUGAAAUGCGCAGAUAUCAGGAGGAACACCGGUGGCGAAGGCGGUUCUCUGGGCAUGUCCUGACGCUGAGGAGCGAAAGUGUGGGGAGCGAACAGG
This 253-nucleotide ribosomal RNA is filed under the name uncultured bacterium. Its description in RNAcentral is "partial 16S ribosomal RNA". It matches the Rfam family "Bacterial small subunit ribosomal RNA", at positions 524 to 776 of the family's 1533-position model. The record is from RNAcentral.